CGUCCUCAAAUCUCGCCAUGUUAACGAAUUCAGCUGCCUCAGGCAUGACGUCAGAUUCGGCAUUAACGUUGUGAUCGUUUACCGGAGAUAUUGUCGGAGGUAGACCGAGCUCAUCGUCGGAAGCUUCGAGAAGGUAACCGAGGUCCGUUUGAGAUUCGCCGGAUUCCGAUGGAUUCAGAUCGAGAACGGUCUGAGAAUCGUCGUGAAGAGGUGAGUGAUGAAGGAUUUCUUCCUCAAAACUCUUCAUGACGGAAUCCAGAUCCUGAAUCUCCGGCGGACAUUCGUUCAGAGCAUCAGGCUCAUCUAAGAUAUCCAAUAUAUCUUCUCUUAUCUGCUUAGCCUCCGGCGAAUCCAGGUACACAUCUUUUCGCACGUCAUCGGAAUCCGAUGAGUUGACUCGGUUCAACUCAGACGAGUCGGGAGCGGUCUUCUCUAGCUCUGAUGAGUUAACUCGCUUGGGCUCAGGCGAGUCAUCAAAUGCGUCCAAUCCUGACUCAACUCGGGUCCGCUUAUUACUGUUAUUAUUAUUCUCAGUUUUCAACUCUUUUUUCAUGUUGAGACAAAAGCCUUAACAACUGAUGUGAAGAGAUUUCUCAAAAUUAUAAAAUCCAAGAAUAGGACAAUAGGUGGGGGCUAGUGGGGUAACUACUCUAGGCACAAAGUCUAGAAAGAUAAAAUGAGCUUUGGAAAAAAAAAGAGGGAAGGGCAAAAGAGAGAUAUUAGCUUUUGGUAGUUGUAAGUCCUUGUUUGGUUAUAGGAAAGAAGAAAGAGAGAGAAGAGGGAAAAAUAUUUUGAAGCAAUGAAGGAGAUAAGGAAGGGGAAGAUAGUUUAUAUAGUGGGAGAGAAAAGGAGGGGGACCAAAGGGUGAGAGGGAUAAGAUUUGGUUGUGUGUGUGAGAGAAGGAAGAGAGAGAAGGGGAGAAACGAGACAAAAGAUGCUGUUUUCAGGUUGAGAUGCAAAGGUGGAGAGAAGUGGAGCUGGCAAUUAUAGUAGUCCCAUCUUAAGUAUUCGUUUGGCCAUAAAACAAAUGUUUAUUUUCUAGGGAUUAUUUUUCUUUUUUAAAUUAAAAAAUUAGUGUUUGGCUUUUAUUUAAGUACACAUAUGUCCAUAUUGAUAGGGUUUACAACACACAGUAUUUUACCAAAGAGCAACAUAUUCAAUAUAUUUAUUUUCAUAAUAAAACCAAAUAUGAAGGAUAAAGUGCAUAAAAUUUAUAUUUCUACGUUAACAGAUACAUAGAGUAGAGAGAUUGUUUUCAAUAAAUUUUUGGCUAAAACUAAAGUAAUUGGUUAGAAAAAAAUUAAUAUAAAAAUAAGAGAUAAUAAAAAAUAACACAAUAAAUACUGACAGAAAAAAGAUUACCACAAAGUAGUGUUAUAAUUAAUUUAUCUGAAACAACAACAUUAUCAAAACUUCAAAACUAAAGACACUACGGAAUCAUUUGAUGGAUAUACAGAAUAAAUAAUUUCAAAAUAAAAUGAAAAAUUAUUUUAUUUCAUAUUUGAUGUGAGGUAUUAAUUAGUAUCGAAAUUCCAUAAAAGUCAUCCUCAUCUUUUCCUAAUAACUUCAUUAAUUUACCUCUUUUAUCCCUAUCAGCACAUUCAUCGUCGCCGUUUUCAAUUUUACUACUUUUGUCCUCUGGGAUACAAGGAACUUUAUAGCACCGCGCUGCAUUUUAUACUGUACGGCUACUCUAUUACAUCAUCAUUAAUUUUUUAUUACUUUCUCCGUUUCAUUUGGUGUGAUCAUUUUUUUUAAUUCAUUUUAAAAAACAUAUCAUACUUUUUUAUUUAAUAAAUAUUUAAAAACAUAAUUACAUCUUUAUCUUUAUUAAACCCACUUAAUUAAAAAUAAAUAGCGACACAUUUUUAAUAAAAGACAACCUGAUAAAUAUUUUUUAUUUUUUUAAUUUUGUGCCCGAUCAAAUAACACAUAAAAUGAGAGGGAGAGGGAGUACUAAAUACUACCCUUCUCUACUAGUAUAUGACUUGUGAAUCACAUAAAUUAUGUAUAUUUCUUUUGUAAAAUAGAAAAAUAUCACACAAACGUAAGAGCAACGAAUCAAUAGGAGUACAAAGGAGAAAAUCGUCUUUCUUUGUUUUCCUCGCAUUAAAAACAGAAUUUAUACUGAUAAUAUAUUCAAUACUGUAUAAUAGCGCAUGGCAGAAAACAGAAAUACAAUUUGUUUGUUCUAGCAACUUUCUUUGCUUCAAUAAUUAAAUGGGCUAAAAUUAAGCUAAUUGUGUGUGAGUAAUUCUACUGUAUUUUUGGCACUUGGCUGGGUAGACAGUUCAAAUGAGCAAAUUAUAUAAGGAUGAUGUAAAAUUUCCAAAUUCUACCAUCUGAAAACACUUGAUUCUAAAGUAUUGAAUUUCAAAUUUAGCUUUCCUAUUUUUAUGCUGUGCUGCUUUCUGGUUUUCAGAUGUACAAACUAACGCUACCAUUCACAUAACCAAAAAAGUUUCAUCAGUUCAUAGAGCGGGUAAGGAUUCCUGCCGCCAUGAAAAUUCAGAAAAAUCCGACGGCUCCGGGUAAUCAAACAACCCGCCGACUGUUAAAAAGUCGCCGUUGCUAUUACCUCCGUCAUUAUCUCCUUCCCUGAGGUCAUGCUCCAUGCCAAAAUCGAACGUGUCGUAAUUAGGCAUAUCGUCCUCAAAUCUCGCCAUGUUAACGAAUUCAGCUGCCUCAGGCAUGACGUCAGAUUCGGCAUUAACGUUGUGAUCGUUUACCGGAGAUAUUGUCGGAGGUAGACCGAGCUCAUCGUCGGAAGCUUCGAGAAGGUAACCGAGGUCCGUUUGAGAUUCGCCGGAUUCCGAUGGAUUCAGAUCGAGAACGGUCUGAGAAUCGUCGUGAAGAGGUGAGUGAUGAAGGAUUUCUUCCUCAAAACUCUUCAUGACGGAAUCCAGAUCCUGAAUCUCCGGCGGACAUUCGUUCAGAGCAUCAGGCUCAUCUAAGAUAUCCAAUAUAUCUUCUCUUAUCUGCUUAGCCUCCGGCGAAUCCAG
This 3002-nucleotide long non-coding RNA is filed under the name Capsicum annuum. RNAcentral's name for it is "long non-coding RNA (CANN_LNC003996)". Lineage: Eukaryota; Viridiplantae; Streptophyta; Magnoliopsida; Solanales; Solanaceae. The record is from RNAcentral.